GGAUUUAGGAAGGGGCACCAAAGUCUCCAGGGAGCCAGCUUCACUUUUUUUUUAUUAAAAAGUUUUAUCAAGUAUUACAACAAUUUUACCCAUACCCAUUUUUUUUGUUUCAUUCAUAAGCUAUUUGAAAUUUUUUAGUCCAAUAUUUGUUUUGAAUAUAGUCAAUCCAUCUUCUCCAUUCCGAUAUAUAUCUUUCAUUUGAAUGGUCCUUCUCUGCUAAAUUCACUACUUUUAAUGUCCAUUCUUCAAUAGUAGAAAAGCAAGGAAAAAUCAAGCUGCUAACAAGGAACCUGCUGAUACUCAUUCUACAUUCCUGCCAGCUGCAUAAAGGAAACUUUGUAAGAAAACAGCUACUAGUGCUUAGAGAUAAUAGAAGUUGGAAGUCAGAAGUUCGGCUCCAUUUACAAGUAGGCAGAAAACUCAUUCAAGAUAGGAUAUUUCACAAUGGAAAUCGCCCAAACCUUUUUAGAAACACAAAGCCCAUGUUGCACAAAGCCCAUGUUGCACAAAACACAGAACCAUAUAAGAAUCCUUUCUCUUAUCCGGUUUGUUGUUCAGCUAACCCAGAAACGAACUGCUGAAUGUCACUUCGCUUCUGCAAGUAAAAACCUCCUUCCAA
Non-coding RNA from Pantherophis guttatus, 619 nucleotides. Lineage: Eukaryota; Metazoa; Chordata; Lepidosauria; Squamata; Colubridae. The record is from RefSeq and is a predicted model, not a curated record.